Caerostris darwini is the source of this 92-nucleotide non-coding RNA. Lineage: Eukaryota; Metazoa; Arthropoda; Arachnida; Araneae; Araneidae. The record is from the annotation of a GenBank genome assembly.
CCAUACUGUGAAUAAUAUACCGGUUCUCGUUAGAUCACCGAAGUUAAAGCAUCGUGGGCGCGGUCAGUACUUGGGUGGGUGACCACCAGAGA